AGAGUUUGAUCAUGGCUCAGAACGAACGCUGGCGGCAUGCCUAACACAUGCAAGUCGAACGUGAUCCAGGUUUCGGCCUGGUGAAAGUGGCAGACGGGUGAGUAACGCGUGGGAACCUGCCCUGUGGUAGGGAAUAACCGUGGGAAACUGCGGCUAAUACCCUAUGAGUCCUUCGGGAGAAAGAUUUAUCGCCAUAGGAGGGGCCCGCGUCGGAUUAGGUAGUUGGUGGGGUAACGGCCUACCAAGCCUUCGAUCCGUAGCUGGUCUGAGAGGAUGAUCAGCCACACUGGGACUGAGAUACGGCCCAGACUCCUACGGGAGGCAGCAGUGGGGAAUAUUGGACAAUGGGGGCAACCCUGAUCCAGCAAUGCCGCGUGGAUGAUGAAGGCCUUCGGGUUGUAAAGUCCUUUCGGCGGGGAAGAUGAUGACGGUACCCGCAGAAGAAGCCCCGGCUAACUUCGUGCCAGCAGCCGCGGUAAUACGAAGGGGGCUAGCGUUGUUCGGAAUUACUGGGCGUAAAGGGCGCGUAGGCUGUGCUGUAAGUCAGGCGUGAAAGCCCCGGGCUCAACCUGGGAAUUGCGCUUGAUACUGCGGCGCUGGAAGGUGGGAGAGGAUGGCGGAAUUCCCAGUGUAGAGGUGAAAUUCGUAGAUAUUGGGAAGAACACCGGUGGCGAAGGCGGCCAUCUGGCCCACCAUUGACGCUGAGGCGCGAAAGCGUGGGGAGCAAACAGGAUUAGAUACCCUGGUAGUCCACGCUGUAAACGAUGAGUGCUAGACGUCGGGGAGCUUGCUCUUCGGUGUCGCCGCUAACGCAUUAAGCACUCCGCCUGGGGAGUACGGUCGCAAGAUUAAACUCAAAGGAAUUGACGGGGGCCCGCACAAGCGGUGGAGCAUGUGGUUUAA
This 903-nucleotide ribosomal RNA is filed under the name uncultured bacterium. Its description in RNAcentral is "bacterial SSU rRNA". It matches the Rfam family "Bacterial small subunit ribosomal RNA", at positions 8 to 949 of the family's 1533-position model. The record is from RNAcentral.